This 21-nucleotide non-coding RNA is filed under the name Caenorhabditis elegans. The record is from RNAcentral. Lineage: Eukaryota; Metazoa; Nematoda; Chromadorea; Rhabditida; Rhabditidae.
UUGAGUAGCUCCAAUUAUACC